Molecule: ribosomal RNA, 253 nt
Filed under: uncultured bacterium
Lineage: Bacteria
Description: partial 16S ribosomal RNA
Rfam family: Bacterial small subunit ribosomal RNA
Source: RNAcentral
UACGGAGGGGGCUAGCGUUGUUCGGAAUUACUGGGCGUAAAGCGCACGUAGGCGGCUUUGUAAGUUAGAGGUGAAAGCCCGGGGCUCAACUCCGGAAUUGCCUUUAAGACUGCAUCGCUAGAAUUGUGGAGAGGUAAGUGGAAUUCCGAGUGUAGAGGUGAAAUUCGUAGAUAUUCGCAAGAACACCAGUGGCGAAGGCGGCUCACUGGCCCAUUACUGACGCUGAGGCACGAAAGCGUGGGGAGCAAACAGG